AUGGUGGUUUUUGUGUCAAAUCAGUGGUUAUUUGGUGCUCUGACCACCAUUGGAGCCUCCUCGAGCUGCAGGCCGUGUCCUGAGCCAGGAGGAGCAGCUCCGCUCUCCCUCCCAGGCCAAAUAUCAGGCGAGGAUCGGGGCCGUUGGACCUGUGAGCGUGCACUGAGCAGGGUUUUAUCUCAGGAUUUUAUCUCAAGGCUUUAUUUUUUGCAGGAUUUUACCAUUUCAGCGCGUAGGGCAGCAAGCUGCAGGCACCGAACCAGGGAAGCGACCCGGCCACGUUCUCACGCUGGCUUCGUGGCGGCGUGCUCAGCCCCAAGCUCUUUAAAUACACCUGGAGCAUCUCUUGAACCUGACAGCAAGUGAGAGAAGUGCUGAGAGGUGCCCAAACUGCUUCUUGGUGUUUCUGGGAUGCAGAGGACUAGGUUUCCGCCGAGGAGCCCCGUAACCUCUCCGGGAACCCAUGGCCGAGGUGUGCAUAGGGAGGAAAUGCCUUUGUAGCAAGUGCCUGCUGCCACCGGGUGGUAACCGGCCUCCCCUGCAUUUGCACAGGCCUCGCUGAGCUCUGAUUUUCGUGCACGCGAUAAUUUACCCAGUGUCUAAUUCGCGUUCGUGUCCUUUUUUUAGCACAGUUCCCAGAGCGAGCGAAACGGGAUUCGUACCCGAGAGCAAAGAGCUGGGUGGAAACACGGAGCAUGCAGGGAAACGCGUCCUUAACGAAGGCUGCAUCUUUUUCUGCUGAGAUGUUUUUAACCCACUUCUGCCUUUUGGUGUCUCUUUUUUUUUUCUGUUCGUGCAGGUGCUCUUUUAAGCAGCACUUUUUGGGGCAGAGGCACGCCAGCUCUAACGCUGUGUUCUCUCCCAGAAUGGUGCUUGUGGGCUGCAGCUUUCUGUAGAUGUCGUUGCUUUCUGUUACAAGGUGUGCUGCAUCGUGACAGGAACAGGCUUUUUAAAGCUGUUUGCUUUGAGCCUUCUUGGCACAUUCAUGCUAGGUUUUUUCUCUGCUUUAAAAAAAAAAAUAUUUAAAGUGCUUGGACAAUUUUUGCCUCUCUGCUUUGAUAGGAUUUGCAGCUGUGAAUGUGCUUUAAUAGAAUUUACAGCUGGGCUGAAGUAUCCCCUCUCUUAAAAUAACAUUGCAGCUUCGUGAUUCAGGAGAAUGUGCCUCCCACUAGCUGCUUUGUCUGUAGCUGUGAAUGCUCUGGAGCAAGAGGAGAAUAUGAGCAAAACCAAAACUUUUGUAUGUGGCAAAAUAGGAAGCAUAACCCUGUGGUUCAGGACUGUAACUAUAAACGAGUGUACUUGGGUCUUGUUUUAUUUUUGCUUUGCCAGUGCCUUGCUUUCUGCUCUCACGUGCAGCUUUUAACCUGCCAGUUGUUUUUUUUUUUCUGCCAUUAAAAUGGGAAUAGGAAAACCUCAGAGCGUUGUUAGAUCAUUAGGUGAUCGUUCCGGGGAUCUUUACCUCCGGAGCUUUGUGUCGCUCUGACCAACACAGAGAAAUCAGUGCAUUUGUGCAGGAAAAAAAAAAAACACAGAGUCACCUUUCCUGUGCCCUGAUUUUGCGGGGUUUCAUUUGGGCUCCUCUUCUCUGAAAAUCUUUGCAAGUCCCAUCCUCCCCGAGGGGUGCCCGGUGACAGGGGGAUGUGGGCCAAGCAAAAGCUCAGCGCCCUCCCCAGCUUGCUGCUGACAAAGCUGGUGAGCCGAUCUGCUCUUCUUUUUCCCCAAAAAAAGGCUAGAGCCAGAGUGCCCGAGCAGCAGCACGUUUGUUGCUUUGAAUGCGCUCCGAACCUGGAGGGAUCUGGCUCUGUACAUCCCUCUGCGAAACGCUGGUGCUGAGUGCUCAGGAUAAUGAAUGUAGGGAGAACGGUUUUUAAGGUUAUGACUGCCACCGAGCCAGCUGUACCUCGG
RNAcentral lists this long non-coding RNA (1905 nucleotides) under Anas zonorhyncha (Eastern spot-billed duck). Its description in RNAcentral is "lncRNA (ENSAZOG00000012000.1)". Lineage: Eukaryota; Metazoa; Chordata; Aves; Anseriformes; Anatidae. The record is from RNAcentral.